Molecule: long non-coding RNA, 727 nt
Filed under: Homo sapiens (human)
Lineage: Eukaryota; Metazoa; Chordata; Mammalia; Primates; Hominidae
Description: HSALNT0127891
Source: RNAcentral
CCAAGUUAUACGAAUUCAAGUACCCUUCUAGGGCAAAGUCAGAGGUGGAAGAACUGCCUACCUAAAGAAUUACUUGGUGCUAAAGGACAGUAUGAACCACAGAAGGAGAUAAGUAAAACAGGGGCAGGAUGACAUUAUUUAAACUCCAGAUUCUCAGUGGAAUACUAACAUAGUCUGUUAUGUUACAGUAUUGUCUUUUUUAUUUUUUAUUUUUGAGACAGGGUCUAGCUCUAUCACCCAGGCUGGAGUGCAGUGAGAAGAUCUUGGCUUACUGCAAUCUUUGCCUCCUGGUCUCAAGGAAUCCUCCCACUUCAGCCUCCUGAGUAGCUGGGACUACAGCUCCCUCACAUCUUUGGGCAAAAGCGACAUCAGACAACGAGUCAGAGCCAUCCAUCUCUGGCAACUCCACAUUUCCUGCAAAGUUUGCAACUGCUUCUCCAUCUGCUACUUCUGAUGAUCUCCCGCCCUUGUUUCCAUCACUCAUCAGUGUCUACCCUUCUGUAAACUGUCAUUCUUUAAGCAACCUUCAACUUUUUUAAAAAGGAUUAGUGCCCUUACUGAAGAGGUUGAACGGAGCAGCCUUGCCCCCUUCUGCCAUGUGAGGAUGCAGCAAGAAAGUGUCAUCUAUAAGGAACAGGCCCUCAUCAGACACAGAGUCUACUGUUGCUUUGAUCUUGGAUUUCUCAGCCUCCAGAACUGUAAAAAAUAAAUUUUUGUUGUUUAUAAA